This 2539-nucleotide long non-coding RNA is filed under the name Setaria italica (foxtail millet). Its description in RNAcentral is "long non-coding RNA (SITA_LNC001409)". Lineage: Eukaryota; Viridiplantae; Streptophyta; Magnoliopsida; Poales; Poaceae. The record is from RNAcentral.
AAAAAUACUACUGAAGAGAAAGUCUCCUGGUUUAUUUCAGCUUAUUCCUUUGGAGAGAGCGUUUGAUCAGCAGCUUACUACUCGAUUUGGAGUAUUCAGUUUACAGAUCCUAGUGUGAUACAGAAGUCGUCCAAAAAAAAUGGUACGUAAGUGGGAGUUUUGGAAAGAAAAGAUUAACCCAAAUCACCCUGCCCUGCAAUUGUCAAUGUUUCGUGUAAUAUCAUUACUGGUUUAGUGACAGUGUGCACAUUUAUAUUUGAUCUCAGUUGGGAUUCGGGGACAUGGAUAGCGCAAUUAUCUGAUGAUUUCCUGUGAGCGUCGUUCAUUGGACCAAAAUGUCAUGGAGAGACGUUAAAGAUGUAUUCAUCCUAAAGGUACUCUCUUUUAUAAUCCUCUCAUUUCCACUUGUUGAAAAAUAAAAAAGUUAAGUCCAUGGCGAGUGUUUCCAAUUUUUUACGUUCGGCUACGAUUAUGUCUAGUGAUUAAGGCGGCGUCAUGCUGCCAUUCGUCAAUUAAGCUGAUGCAAUAUGUUCCUCUCGAAGUUCACAUCUCCAUCCAUCCUCUUCUUACUUAGAACCAUCUGAUCCGAAGAGUUCAUUCCCCGAUGCCUAGGAUCACACGUACCAGGCAAGCAUAAAAAAUUCAAGACACACAAUCUUACUCCCUCUGUGGGAGUAGCUCACAGAAGCCAAGUGCACUGAUUGACAGUAGAAACAAGCAUGCAUAUGAAAGCUAUGGACUCUGCGUUUGUCUUCAUUGUUUUUUGCAGCACAUGAGAGCUCAUUUUGCACAUCAGGGCACGUUAAGGAGUACUGGAGCAGUAGAAUCUGUACAUAGAUUUUUCAUAGCACUUGUACAAGGCUGCAGCACACAACUACGCAAACCAAUCGCAUAAAUUAUGAUAUGUUACAGCUGGGGAGCUGACUGCCCAGAUCCUGAAAUCCAAAUCACUCGCUACAUCUUUUGCCUAAUCGUCAAUCUACAAAGCAAACAGCUCGAAACAAUUGAACUCCAAACCCAACCCAAACCAAGUCUACCAAUCCAGUCAAAUACGGAGUACGAGCUAAAUGUAUUACAUCAGAAAUGUACAUACUAGUGCAACAACUUCAUACUAUAGUGCUCCAUUUACAAUACUCAAUACUUGGCUAAUCAGAUCAUCCAAUCACCCUGUGAGAAAAAAAAAAGUGACACGAACAAGUUAUUUAAAUCAGCGAUGAAAUUUGCCCAAGGCUGUUAAAUUAAGAAACAACGCAUCUUAAAUCUGGGAUAGUACCAGCAGUAUGAAGUUCAUCCAAGAGGAGGGGAUUCCGGUUCAGAGCCACUGAUGGAUGUAAAUGUUGACAGCGAAUCAUCACCAAAGUUCAAAUGGGAAGUCGAUAGCCGCCUCAAAUCACCAAAGUAUCUAUUAUGGCCAGAGUAUGAUCUGGGCGUCAAGAGCUCAGAGGUAGCACUGCCAAGAGAUGAUCGCCGCGGAGUAGGAGUCUUGAGUCCAUUAGUGUUUCCAUUUGGCCGAUACCCAUUUGUCUUCCUAUUUAAGCUGUUCGUCCUCUUUGGGCUUAGUUUAGAGCCAAAAAUCGCUUCUUUCUCUGCGAGUAGGAUGCUCUCCAACUUCUUCUGGUCCUGUAAGAAUGCAGAAGUCAUAUUAAAAGGCCAUAUCAUUUCUGAAUUAUUUUUAAUUAAAACAAGGGUGAUUCUUAAGCAUUUCUACCCGGUAUCGUCGUUUUUCCUCUUCUUUCUGAUGUCGGCUAAGUCUGUACUCUUCAAGCACAGAUAUUAGCCGCCCCUAUUAAAAGAGCAUGCAAGUCAAAAAAAAACUAAGAAUAAGCAUGCACACUAUUGGUCAUCCAAUUUUAUACUUACUCCAUCAUAGAGAAAGGGUUUGUUUCUUGCGUUUUCCCAAGCAAAGGUCCGGUUUAUCAGGUUGUCCACCAUACCUGAGAAAAUUCUGGGUCAUGCGUUGGAGUAACUGAAAUCUAUAAAUGAUUCCGCAACACUCAAAUUGAGACCUACUUGGGAUUUUUAUGACCAAAAUCCGUGCCUUUUCUGCCCGUUUAAGGUUUAUGUGGGCACCCCUUCCAGCGCUAUACCUCUUUGGGUCCUGCAAAAGACCUUUGGUGUCAUUUCUCAUGAUUUGACUUAUUACAGGUAUCUCAUGAAAAAUGAAACUGACCAGUGCUUUGCCAAGUAGUUCCAUUUUUCCAGAUACGCUGAAUUAGGUACUUUGUGCGGACAUACAUAGUAUGUGAAGCAUUCUAAUUCCAUUCUAGAGAUACUUACAGUACCUGGUUAUAUUCUUCAAGCCAAGCCUCCUCAUCACAAGCAGCAAUCCACUUAUUUAUCCUGUCCAUUAUAUCUUUUCGGCUAAGGGAUUCUUCUUUUGCUUUUAAUAUCUGUGACUCAAUAUUUGCUAGGAGCUCAGAGGGGUCGAUGAGGCCUGGAUGGCACCGGCACAAGAAUGUCAUUAUUUGUAAAAAGCAUGAGAACAUUUGAAUAUAGUAGCAGAGCAAGAUGCAUAAACAACAACCAGAAUCGAUCAGAG